This 731-nucleotide long non-coding RNA is filed under the name Marmota monax (woodchuck). The record is from RNAcentral. Lineage: Eukaryota; Metazoa; Chordata; Mammalia; Rodentia; Sciuridae.
GCAGAUAGUCGAGUCUCCUCUCAUUGUUUCCUGGAACCUAAGGAAAUAUUUACUUGAAAAGUCUUUGAGAAAAAUGCAGGGCCCCAAAGCACCCUCUGCCACACUCAGGCAGGCAUGCGUGCAGCCUCCCAACUUCAGGACCCAAGGACACAGAAAUGGACUGAGCCAAGUAGAUGACCACGUGGGGGUGGACAGUCCUGGCACAUUCUCAUGUGGGACCUCGGGCAAGUUCUGUCCUCUGGGCUCCUCACCCCCAAGUCUGCAGAGCAGUCAGCCUGCGGGAGAGGACUGGAGGUAGAAUGGAGCAGUGCUCCUCGCCAUCUUUUGCCCACGGUUCAAAUUGCGAAAUUUCUUGCAAAAUCCCAGACUUUAAAAAAAAAGCCAGGAGAUCUGGUGGCCGAGACCCAGACUUCUUAAUAGAGGCCUGCUGCCUUCCCUACUGCCCCAGAGUCCCCCCACCCGCUCCUGUGUCUCCAACACCCACUAAGGGUCAGCUGCCAGUUCUUCUCCCACUUAUACCAAUAACUUUUCUUGCUUGGGCUCCCUGACUGGCCCUCUGGGCCCUUGGGAUGGCCACCUGCCAGGACAUUCUAGGAAUUCUACACUGGGGUCCUACCCCGGAGAGAGCUGACAUUUUCCCAGUCAGUUCCCUCGAGGGGCAGGGCCUGGGUGGGGUCUUUUGGGGUCAGUAAAGGGCCUGGAUGGAUGGGACCUGGAUGGGCACAGCUGGG